CCUACGGGAGGCAGCAGUGGGGGAUAUUGCACAAUGGGGGGAACCCUGAUGCAGCGACGCCGCGUGGGUGAAGGAGUGCUUCGGCAUGUAAAGCCCUAUCGGCAGGGAAGAAGCAAGACGGUACCUGACUAAGAAGCCUCGGCUAACUACGUGCCAGCAGCCGCGGUAAGACGUAGGGGGCGAGCGUUAUCCGGAUUCACUGGGUGUAAAGGGAGCGUAGACGGCCAUGCAAGCCAGGGGUGAAAGCCAGGGGCCCAACCCCGGGACUGCCCUUGGAACUGCAUGGCUGGAGUGCGGGAGGGGCAGGCGGAAUGCCUGGUGUAGCGGUGAAAUGCGUAGAUAUCAGGAGGAACACCGGCGGCGAAGGCGGCCUGCUGGACCGCGACUGACGUUGAGGCUCGAAAGCGUGGGGAGCGAACAGGAUUAGAUACCCUUGUAGUC
RNAcentral lists this ribosomal RNA (441 nucleotides) under uncultured bacterium. RNAcentral describes it as "partial 16S ribosomal RNA". It matches the Rfam family "Bacterial small subunit ribosomal RNA", at positions 338 to 795 of the family's 1533-position model. The record is from RNAcentral.